Molecule: transfer RNA, 76 nt
Filed under: Mycobacterium kansasii
Lineage: Bacteria; Bacillati; Actinomycetota; Actinomycetes; Mycobacteriales; Mycobacteriaceae
Description: tRNA-Met
Rfam family: tRNA
About the family: Transfer RNA (tRNA) molecules are approximately 80 nucleotides in length. Their secondary structure includes four short double-helical elements and three loops (D, anti-codon, and T loops). Further hydrogen bonds mediate the characteristic L-shaped molecular structure. tRNAs have two regions of fundamental functional importance: the anti-codon, which is responsible for specific mRNA codon recognition, and the 3' end, to which the tRNAs corresponding amino acid is attached (by aminoacyl-tRNA synthetases). tRNAs cope with the degeneracy of the genetic code in two manners: having more than one tRNA (with a specific anti-codon) for a particular amino acid; and 'wobble' base-pairing, i.e. permitting non-standard base-pairing at the 3rd anti-codon position.
Source: RNAcentral
CGCGGGUGGAGCAGCUCGGUAGCUCGCUGGGCUCAUAACCCAGAGGUCGCAGGUUCGAAUCCUGUCCCCGCUACCA